RNAcentral lists this ribosomal RNA (206 nucleotides) under uncultured bacterium. Its description in RNAcentral is "partial 16S ribosomal RNA". It matches the Rfam family "Bacterial small subunit ribosomal RNA", at positions 568 to 774 of the family's 1533-position model. The record is from RNAcentral. RNAcentral also lists the same sequence under 1 other name.
AGCGCAGGCGGUUUGAUAAGUCUGAAGUAAAAGGCUGUGGCUUAACCAUAGUAUGCUUUGGAAACUGUCAAACUUGAGUGCAGAAGGGGAGAGUGGAAUUCCAUGUGUAGCGGUGAAAUGCGUAGAUAUAUGGAGGAACACCGGUGGCGAAAGCGGCUCUCUGGUCUGUAACUGACGCUGAGGCUCGAAAGCGUGGGGAGCAAACA